GAUGGAUCCAGCUCAUUAGUACCGCGUUUUUCGGGGUUUCGAAUCUUAAAGUCGACAUCAUAAGCCCCAACAUCGCGUUCUCGCGCGCGUAACCCCAUCAGCAUUCAUUCUCAAGGCCAGGCGGCGCAACUCUAGAUACAAAGGCCGGAAUCGAAGCCCCUCCUCCUCCUCCUCGUCUUCCCUCCCCGUAAGCGGUGAGCAGUAUCGGCGAUGGCGCACGAUUCUUUGGGGUUGAAGCCCUCUCGUAGCCUCCCGACCUCCCGAUCCCGCAUCCCCCGCGGCCGACAGCUUCAGAAAACUUUCAACAACCUUAAGAUCACCAUUCUCUGUGGUCUCGUCACCAUUCUCGUACUCCGUGGCACCAUCGGCGUCGGCAACCUCGGUGGCUCUCCUUCCGACGCUGAUACUCGCGUCAUUGAAGAUAUUGAGCGGAUCAUCCGCGAGAUCCGCUCCGACUCCGACCCUGAUGACGAGAUGAUCGUUGGAGGCUCUAACUCCACCGUUGCUCUUAACUCAACCGUUCUCCGCGCUGAGAACUACACCCUCGGCCCUAAGAUCUCCGAUUGGGAUGAGAAGCGGGCCAUGUGGCUGGCGAGUAACCCGGGAUUCCCUUCCCGGAUCUCCGGCGGGAAGCCUCGGAUGCUCCUCGUCACCGGAUCCCCGCCCAAUCCCUGUGACAACGCGAUUGGAGACCACUACUUGCUCAAAGGAAUGAAGAACAAGAUCGAUUACUGUCGUCUCCACGGCAUCGAGAUUGUGCAUAACAUGGCGCAUCUCGACAAGGAGCUCGCCGGGUACUGGGCAAAACUGCCGCUGAUCCGGCGUCUGAUGAUUUCCCAUCCAGAGAUCGAGUGGAUCUGGUGGAUGGACAGCGAUGCGCUCUUCACCGACAUGGCCUUUGAGAUCCCGCUCUCAAAGUACAAUUCCCACAAUCUGGUCGUCCAUGGCUAUCCGGAUCUCAUUUUCGAUCAGCAUUCCUGGAUUGGGCUCAACACGGGAAGUUUCUUGUUGAGAAACUGCCAAUGGUCGCUCGACCUCCUUGAUGCCUGGGCUCCGAUGGGACCCAAAGGUCCGAUUCGGGAUGAGGCUGGCCGGAUCCUCACGGCAGCUCUCAAAGGCCGGCCGGCGUUUGAGGCCGAUGACCAGUCGGCGCUCAUCUACCUUCUCUUGUCGCAGCAGGAGAAGUGGGGCGAUAAGGUGUUCAUUGAGAAUUCUUACUAUCUCCACGGGUAUUGGGCUGGCCUUGUAGACAAGUAUGAAGAGAUGAUGGACAAGUAUCACCCAGGGCUCGGUGACGAAAGGUGGCCUUUUGUGACGCAUUUCGUAGGUUGCAAGCCUUGUGGGAGCUAUGGAGAUUAUCCAGUGGAGAGGUGCUUGAGUAGCAUGGAGAGGGCCUUCAAUUUCGCUGACAAUCAGGUGCUCAGGCUGUAUGGAUUCACUCAUAAGGGACUUGCUAGCCCUAAGAUCAAGAGGAUUAGGAAUGAGACUGCAUCUCCACUGGAGGUCUUGGAUAAGCUGAAUCCACAAGCUAGGAUAGUCAGCCAAUGAAAGGAGCUGCACAACUGCCGUCCCCAACCCUCAUGUUCUGAUGGCCCCCUUAAAAGUCAUCAGGUUGAUUCACAAUGAUCAUCCUACUAAACUGGAAAAGAAAAACAAAGAAAAGAAAAAGGAUUACUGAAGUCAGGAAGAAGCUGCUGGAGAUUGGAGAACUUUUCCCUGUGAAGCUGUGGAACCUGAAACUUUGACUCAGUAUAUCAUGCCAAGAAUACAUCAAUCUCUCAGAUAUUUCUUCUUUUUAUUAUUAUUAUUUAAUUUGUCUGCUCUUGAAAGUUCAUUAUCAUUAUAAUCUCAAAGUUUGAUGUCUAUCUUUGAUGUGUUUAAUCAGAUGGGGCAAUUCUUUUAAUUGCACAUGCUACCUCAUGACUGUUGUUGAUUGAGGCCUCU
RNA transcript from Dioscorea cayenensis subsp. rotundata (Guinea yam), 1944 nucleotides. It is a transcript of the gene named probable xyloglucan 6-xylosyltransferase 5, with no coding region annotated. The transcript is spliced from 2 exons. The record is from RefSeq and is a predicted model, not a curated record. NCBI's taxonomy places the organism in Eukaryota, Viridiplantae, Streptophyta, Magnoliopsida, Dioscoreales, Dioscoreaceae.